UCUGUUGGCGAAAUUGGGAGCAUUGAAUCUCGAUUAGUGAACCAAAUUGAUUAUAUGGAUUUACUUAUGGAUUAUAUGGAUUUACAUAACACAAAUGGAAUUUGGAAUGCAUUUUAGCACUUUAUGGUUAUUAUAUGUAUGAUAUUACACGAUUAUCCAUUCGCAUUCGAAUUCGACUUAAUUUUCGACUGGAGGAUAGGAUCGCUAAGUCAGCACACUUAAAUUGGAUUAAACAAUUAGCCAGAAGCAACAAUUAAAAUUUGCCUGUACGAUAAAAUCAUGAAAUUACUCUCCAAAAACGAUUUUAACAAUUAAUAUCAUGAUAAUAACGAAAAAACAGGAUAAUUUCUAUUCGAGUAACGUAAGAUAGAAGUAGGACUAUCUAAAAAAUAGAUGCAGUACCGUUAGGCCGAAAAGGCACACUGUGACCACUGGAAUCAGUAGCAUCUUGCUCUCUGGGUCUCCGGAUCCAAACUGAGCCCAAACCCGUCGCCCCGAGAUGCUUUUAUUACCUUCAGACCAGGGGCUUCAUUUUACUGGCUGAGAAGCGGCGUCAUCAUCGUCAUUAUCGUCAUCAUCGCAAGCGGAACACAAUGCCGACGUUGCACAGUGGAGUUUUUAUUUUCUCUCUUUGCAUUUUUCAGCUCGUUAUAUUUGCCAUAUUUCAGGUUUUAAAAGUUUAGGUAAUUUAUUAAGUGCUGCAAUUGAAAUAUACAAUUUGCACAUAUUUUUUGUAUAUGUAAAUCUGCAAUUUUUUGCCAGUUGUAUUGCCCAGUUGCUCCACUGUGCGUUGCAGCUGCGCUCUUGUGACGUCAUGCCCUUCACUUACUCACUCACUCAACAACAACAACAACAACAACAACAGAGUGGCGCGCGAUUAACUUUUAAGUUUGAUGGCGCCUGGCAUUUAGCUUUAGAUUUUUAAUUGACUUUUGUUGUCAUUCGGCCGCUGUUAUUGAAUUGGUCUGAAUUGAAGUGGAGACCUUAAAGAGAUGCUCAGUGGCAGGGACUUCUGUUAUCGGGACACAUGUAAAUGGCUCGGCACAGUGGGGCAAAUGCACCCGAAAAUGUGAAACUCACAAGUCUUUAUCAGAUGUGUAGCAUAUCAAAGAAAUUAAGUACUACAUAAUCGUUCUUCAUCCGUGUUGAAGUUGCUUAUUACAAAACUUUCUUCGACUUUAGUUUUUACAACUUUUUAUGGCACAUUUACCAAAGGAAUUUUGCCAAAUUCCAAAGGACUCAUUUGUGUGAAAUGAAUUAAAUAAAUUUUCAUUUAAUUUUAA
Drosophila yakuba is the source of this 1283-nucleotide long non-coding RNA. RefSeq lists it as uncharacterized. The transcript is spliced from 3 exons. The record is from RefSeq and is a predicted model, not a curated record. Lineage: Eukaryota; Metazoa; Arthropoda; Insecta; Diptera; Drosophilidae.